ACAGGAUUGAGUCUAAGUCAGCUCUUUCAACCUUCGCAUGACGCACCUCCAUUUUGUAGCAUAGGUGAAAACAAACGAACGGCCACAAUGUUGCUUCGAUGUGAGCUAUAAGGAAGAGGAUUAUAUUGUUGCUGUUGUUACCUGGGUUUCAGGUGCUGACAGAACAAGCAGACCAGGUAGGAUGUCCUGUUGAGGUCCAGCAACAGGCUGCUGAGGGUAAGAGGAAUCUGUCGUGUUUACUCCACUGAGUGGCCGACGUAUAGUGGUGGGUUUCACAGCUGCUGACAUCGGAAGAGAAUCCAAUGAGCUCUGGAAGUUGUUCGUAAAAAGCAAAUAAGUUAAACUUCAAAGAAUACAUUAGUAGGAAGACCACCCUAUCCUGACUAGUCUCCCUGCCCUCGCAUCUGUCUAACAUCUCCCUCAGUGUCUCUCUCCGCCAGCUGCUUUUUAAAUCAAGGUAUUGUCAGACUUUAUCCUUUAUUCUUCACAACAAUGUUAACACAUAGCCCCCUCCCAGACAAAUAGUCGGCAAUCAGAGACAAAACUACAGUCUCCGCAGAACGGCUUGCUCACUGGCAACAGUGAAUAUAGCCAUGCUUGACAACCAGGUCCAACAAGGAUAACAGCAUAAAGCAUGUCUUCCUUACCCAGGAUGGAGGUGAAAAGGGAGGAGAAGGUGUGGGAGGACAGGGAGAAUACUGGGGCAACCCAAGCCAAACCAGAACAGCAUGGUGUCGCUGGACCACAGGCUGCAAGGGAUGGGAGUGUGGGAGAGGUAGUACUGACCUGGUCAAGUACCCUGCCGGACCUCUUUAGAGCAAUAGACAGUGAACACCCACAGGAACAGUCUACCCCUACGCAGCCAGCCCCUGGUGGGCUCCUGAUCGCCUCAUAGCUCCCAAGCCAGCCGUGUUGUUGUUUUCGCCUUGGCUGUGUGAGGACAGGAAGAGAUAAAGAGAGACCGACUUGCGUGUUUACAGCCAACAAUGCUGAGUUGAAUAGCAGGAGAAGGAGAGGGGAAGAGGACUGAUGGCAGAUCGACCGACCGGCCGGCCGGCCCACUCUGAAAAAUCAACUCGGUGCCAAGUGUACUGUGCAAACAGAAAUGCAGGGUGGAAAAAUAAAGAGAAAGAUCUGAGAAGAACACACAGUUGCAUUGAAAAUGUACUACACAUUACGCAAAAACUGAUUUCAAUAGACAUGUCCUUGUGAGAGCAUGUCUAUAGUGUUAAUGUAUGGAAAUAUACCGAACUACAUGCAAAUUAAUGUCAAUUUAGCAAAUUAACAUACAGAGGAGCACAAAAGGUCAGAAGUUUUUUACAGUACUUAAAGAUUUUUCUACUCAGGUGUUUGAGUUAUUCUUUCCCUGUUCUGGUCACAAUAUGCCCCCAUGCCAUCAAAUACUUUUUUACCAUUAUUUCACCAGAUACGUCUGCUAAGAAUAUAUCCUUUUAUUUUUUUAGAAACAACCCAGGAGCAAUUUGGGUUAAAUGUCUUGCUCAGGGACAGAACGACAGGCCUUUUCACCUUGUCGGCUCAGGGAUUCGAACCAGCGACCUUUCGUUGACUGGCCCCACACACUCUCGAACACUGCCGCACCAAUUCUGACGCAUUUGUCUGUCUGAUUAAUAUUUAUUGUGUUUUUCUGUCCAUCUGUGAUUCUUACAGGAAGUGGGGAACCAUGGGGUCCUGGAUCCUUGGUCUGUGUAUGGUUUUGUGUUUCUGGGGAACAGUUAGCGGGAACAAGCUUCACAGCCACACUGUUGGCCGGUGUACUGUCAAUACUGGCACAGUAAGAAAGACACACUCAGCUUUCUGCUAUCCCUUCUUUCUUCUCUUUGUCUUCAGUUCCAAGCAGUCACGUGAGGAAGACACG
Molecule: long non-coding RNA, 1876 nt
Organism: Esox lucius (northern pike)
Lineage: Eukaryota; Metazoa; Chordata; Actinopteri; Esociformes; Esocidae
Source: Ensembl